Molecule: long non-coding RNA, 2760 nt
Organism: Astatotilapia calliptera (eastern happy)
Lineage: Eukaryota; Metazoa; Chordata; Actinopteri; Cichliformes; Cichlidae
Source: Ensembl
GGAAUAAUUUGAAAUCUCAUUGCGUAGACAUGUUUCAGUGGUUUCUACACACUAGAACUAGAAGAUGCUCUGUGAAUCUCUCCUGUAAAGUUAUAAGUGCUGUGAAAUCUCAGCAGCGCGGCUAAAGAGCUCUCUUUCAAAAUGAGCCCAAAAAAGAGACACUUGACAGAACAUUAGCGCAUGAUGAUGAUACUUUCAUUACCUGAAGACAUGUUGGACUGACUAGCGACUAAAAAUCGCACUUUUACCUCAGUUUUGAAUGCUAUGAAUAAUGGACUCUGAUCUAGUGUUAUUUAGGCAAUUUUAAAACAUUAAGCUUUUCUGAUUUUUGCAAAUGCACAGCGGCCAAAUCUUUGACUUUCCAUCAAAGUUAUGUACCCCUUAAGCCCGCUGGUAUGCCUAACAUUUAUUAUCCUUCCAUCUUUUUUUUCCCCACGUGGAGAACAACAAUGAGGGAGCAAGUACCAAUGUUAACGUUAGAAAAUCAGCUUAUACUGAUCUGUUCCACGCUGCAUCUAUGUAAAGGUUCCCCAAAAGUCCAGCAUCUUUCCUCCGACCCCUGACCCGACCACAGAUCAUAGGCCAGUGACUCUUUAAAAGACAAUCACUUGCUCAUUAAGGCUUGAUGCACUACAAAGCAUCUCUCAGGGAGCAGCUCUUUUUCAGAUUUUGCAUUAAGAGGGUUUAAUAUUUUUGCAAAUUUACAAAAAAAAAGAUUAAUUAUAAAAGAAUAACUUUUUAGGAUUAAAAAAAAAGGCAUACGCCACCAGUGUAUGCCAGAAAUGAAAUCUGCCCAGACAAGGCUUUGACAGAUGUAUGUCUGUGUGUAUGUGUGUGUACAGAGCAUGAAUUCACUGUCCAAAUAUCUUUAGACUCCAGAUUAUAUAGCAAAAAUCAUAAUAACAUAGCACUAAAAAAACAACAACUUGUAUAUCAGUGUGCUCUUUUCACCACUGUACGCUCAUGUUUACUGAUUCUUUUUGCUGCUUUUGGGACAGUGAGGGAAGUCCAGUAGUAAGCUGUGACACAAGCGCCAUCACAACACCGCAGGGACAGUGAAUUCCAACUCUGACUAUGAAGUUUUUGUGUGUGACGUUUUUAUUAUCCCUUGUUAGACUGUGAAUCAGAGGGCUGGGAUGGGGCUGUAAGGGGAGGUGGGGUGGGGAUGUGCCGGCAAGAACGAGUGGCAACGCAACACUGUAAGUAAGAUACUGUAGCAAUAAGAAGUGGAGGCAUUUACUACUGUCAUGUUUGCAUUGUAAGAUUAUUUUUUAUUUUAUUACUAUUUACUAUUAUUAUUGUUCUUAUUAUGACUACUAUUCUUCUAUUACUAUUAGCCUAUUGUUGUUCUGUUCUAUUUGCAUGAUGUUUCAGAGCAAUGAAACAUUUGGGGCUUAUUGUGUUUUCUCUUCUCAUGAUAAUGUGGGUUUCGUGGGAGAGGAUUUUUUCUUUUGUUUUGGUUUUUUUUGGCAGGGUGGGGAAUGGGUUGUGGGCAAAUUCCACAUCAAUUUAGUCGGUUCAAAGCAAUUUUUUCACAUACUGAAAGGAUUUUUAAAUAAAUGCUCUAAUUUAUACGUGACCAAUUUUAAUUUGUUGCUGGAUUUGAAAUGUUUUGGGGAGUUUUUUGUUCUCAACCUCUGAAUGUGUGCGUUGAACGGCCCUUUCUGAACUGGCCUUACUGAAUCGGAUAACCCUUGAACCUGCUGUGGGAGAAUAAUCGAUUCUGAAUGUUAUGGAGUAGUUUGUUCAGUGUGAGGGGCUGAACGCAUCAUGCGCCUUUACCACUCCAUCAACACAGAAUGACAUCACGGAGCGCACAAACGAGCAGUCGUCGGCUCUUCGACGUGACUCGGACAAAUUGCGCAGACAAUUUUUUAAAACAUGCUGAGUUUGAAAUGUUUCCUACACUUAGUCGAACACAAUCCAAACCUUCUUCUCCCUUUCCUGAGAAAAAGCUGUGUGCGCGUGAAUGUGUGCGUGUGAGGAAGAAAACGAGAUGUGAGAUGACGUUCUGCUCUACCAAUGCUUUGUAAACUUUCUUGAUGCAUUACACAUUUGUGCAAUUGGAGUAGUGUUGAAAAUUUGUUAAUUUAUUGUUUAGAAUGUCUUUGCAUCCCAGCAAGAGCAAAUAAAACAAAAUGUAGCAAUCUGUAACCAAAACCUAAAAGGUACUUAGGCUACAGAACCUCUUUUACACAGGACUAACAAAACAACAACAACAAGGACAAAAACAGAAAAAAUACAAAAAAAAAGAGACAUUUGUUUGUUUUCAAAGUGCCAUAGCUAGUGAGGAGUGGAAGGAUUGGCAGAGUGGGGCGUAGAUGCUUUACGGUGUGAGUUUACUUGAGAAACCAAUCAAAAAAGGGGAACUCUGAGGAAAAACCUGUAUGUGAUUACGCUGAUGAACCGUUUUUACAUUUUAUGCUUUUUCAUUUGGUGAGGACUCUGCUUGACUCUGAACUCUGACUCUGCCAUAAAUCCACGAGCUCUACUGUCCAACGCUUCAUUUUCAGACGAGAACGAAAGAGUGACUGUGUGUGUAAAAGCAUGCAUCUGCAAUAAAGUGAGUCACGCCCAUAAACGAUGGAUCAGACUGGGUCGAAGUUCAGAGCCAUGCAGGGGCCUUAGUGAGUUCUCCUUUGAGAUGUAUAUACAAUGUGAAGGUCUGAAGUGAUUUUUUUUUGUUAAAUUCUAUAUUUUAUCGCUUUUGUAGACAUUUUGUUGUGGGAAGAAAAAAAAUAAAAAGAAAUUUUAUGGGUG